This 253-nucleotide ribosomal RNA is filed under the name uncultured bacterium. RNAcentral's name for it is "partial 16S ribosomal RNA". It matches the Rfam family "Bacterial small subunit ribosomal RNA", at positions 524 to 776 of the family's 1533-position model. The record is from RNAcentral.
UACGUAGGGGGCGAGCGUUGUCCGGAAUCAUUGGGCGUAAAGCGCGUGUAGGCGGCCAGGUAGGUCCGCUGUGAAAACUCGAGGCUCAACCUCGAGAUGUCGGCGGAAACCAUCUGGCUAGAGUCCGGAAGAGGAGAGUGGAAUUCCCGGUGUAGCGGUGAAAUGCGCAGAUAUCGGGAAGAACACCCGUGGCGAAGGCGGCUCUCUGGGACGGUACUGACGCUGAGACGCGAAAGCGUGGGGAGCGAACAGG